GACAGAGGGUGCAAACGUUGUUCGGAAUUACUGGGCGUAAAGCGUGCGUAGGCGGUGUCUUAAGUUUGUUGUGAAAUCUCCCGGCUUAACCGGGAGGGUGCGGCGAAUACUGAGAUGCUGGAGUGCCGGAGAGGUAAGCGGAAUUCCUGGUGUAGCGGUGAAAUGCGUAGAUAUCAGGAGGAACACCUGCGGUGUAGACGGCUUACUGGACGGUAACUGACGCUGAGGCACGAAAGCGUGGGUAGCAAACAGG
Molecule: ribosomal RNA, 253 nt
Filed under: uncultured bacterium
Lineage: Bacteria
Description: partial 16S ribosomal RNA
Rfam family: Bacterial small subunit ribosomal RNA
Source: RNAcentral